This 434-nucleotide ribosomal RNA is filed under the name uncultured Roseburia sp. Its description in RNAcentral is "bacterial SSU rRNA". It matches the Rfam family "Bacterial small subunit ribosomal RNA", at positions 341 to 792 of the family's 1533-position model. Lineage: Bacteria; Bacillati; Bacillota; Clostridia; Lachnospirales; Lachnospiraceae. The record is from RNAcentral.
ACGGGAGGCAGCAGUGGGGAAUAUUGCACAAUGGGCGCAAGCCUGAUGCAGCGAUGCCGCGUGAGGGAAGAAGGUUUUCGGAUUGUAAACCUCUGUCAACAGGGACGAAAAUGACGGUACCUGUGAAGGAAGCUCCGGCUAACUACGUGCCAGCAGCCGCGGUAAUACGUAUGGUGCAAGCGUUAUCCGGAUUUACUGGGUGUAAAGGGAGCGCAGGCGGUACGGCAAGUCUGAUGUGAAAGCCCGGGGCUCAACCCCGGUACUGCAUUGGAAACUGUCGAACUAGAGUGUCGGAGGGGUAAGCGGAAUUCCUAGUGUAGCGGUGAAAUGCGUAGAUAUUAGGAGGAACACCAGUGGCGAAGGCGGCUUACUGGACGAUAACUGACGCUGAGGCUCGAAAGCGUGGGGAGCAAACAGGAUUAGAUACCCUGGUA